RNAcentral lists this transfer RNA (72 nucleotides) under Bos taurus (domestic cattle). It matches the Rfam family "tRNA". Rfam says of the family: Transfer RNA (tRNA) molecules are approximately 80 nucleotides in length. Their secondary structure includes four short double-helical elements and three loops (D, anti-codon, and T loops). Lineage: Eukaryota; Metazoa; Chordata; Mammalia; Artiodactyla; Bovidae. RNAcentral also lists the same sequence under 4 other names. The record is from Rfam by way of RNAcentral.
UCCCUGGUGGCUCAGACAGUAAAGUAUCUGCCUGCAAUGCAGAAGACCUGGGUUCAAUUUCCAGGUUGAGAA